GAUGAACGCUGGCGGCGUGCUUAACACAUGCAAGUCGAGCGAGAAGUUUUGAAAAGAUUCUUCGGAUGAAAUUUAAAAUGGAAAGCGGCGGACGGGUGAGUAACGCGUAGGCAACCUGCCCCAUACAAAGGGAUAGCAUUUGGAAACGAAUAUUAAUACCUUAUGAAACUUAACUAGUGCAUGCUAGGUAGGUCAAAGAUUUAUCGGUAUGGGAUGGGCCUGCGUCUGAUUAGCUAGUUGGUGAGGUAACGGCGCACCAAGGCGACGAUCAGUAGCCGACCUGAGAGGGUGAACGGCCACAUUGGAACUGAGACACGGUCCAAACUCCUACGGGAGGCAGCAGUGGGGAAUAUUGCACAAUGGGGGAAACCCUGAUGCAGCAACGCCGCGUGAACGAUGAAGGCCUUUGGGUCGUAAAGUUCUGUUCUAGGUGAUGAAAACUGACAGUAACCUAGGAGAAAGCCCCGGCUAACUCCGUG
This 479-nucleotide ribosomal RNA is filed under the name uncultured bacterium. RNAcentral describes it as "partial 16S ribosomal RNA". It matches the Rfam family "Bacterial small subunit ribosomal RNA", at positions 28 to 507 of the family's 1533-position model. The record is from RNAcentral.